GAGAACACUCUGCCCCUACUAAUCUGAAUGCUUCUGCAAUAGACUACACUUAAUUGUCUUUUGCCUCCCAUCAGUUCAGAGCCACAUGUUUAAAUGAAAUGAAAAACUGCUUCAUUUCAAAUUCAAAAACAGUGUAUUUAGCUAAAAGCCAUGCCUAAGGAAGAAAAGUAGGGUAUACAUUUCUGGAUAUGAGAAGGAAUAUUUUAAUCACCUGAUUUAUGGUUCUUUGGCUACAAUCUUUGUUUGUUCUUUCAUUUAGCCUUCAACUUUAUGAAUAGAAGAGGUCAUUUUCUCUUGAAGAGUGUAAAUAAUGUUGUAUACUGAAACUCUGAGAAACACAGAAAAUACCUAAAUUACCUAUGAAACUUUCAUGAACAAGGCAAUU
Molecule: long non-coding RNA, 385 nt
Filed under: Piliocolobus tephrosceles (Ugandan red Colobus)
Lineage: Eukaryota; Metazoa; Chordata; Mammalia; Primates; Cercopithecidae
Description: lncRNA (ENSPTEG00000008675.1)
Source: RNAcentral